UUUCCUAUAGCCUAGAGACAGUUGGGUCACACUUCUGUGGAAAUGUGCCUUGGAGAGAUAUAUCCAAUACUUAUGUUUCACUUCAGAUAUUCUUAGCUUCACUUGUCUUGUUCCAAUUGCUGUAACAAUUACCAGCUCUGCCUGGAUUUGAACAGUCAGGGUAACAGAUGGCUGAUCCUAUGAAUAUGAGUCAAUGUCUCUUGUCGGCCACCUCAGUGUUUGCACAGCGAUCCCAUAAACAGAGUGACCAAGGUAGCAAGGCUGGCGCCUACGCACGGGCCCCAAACUAUGGUGUCCCUCUUAUCAGAGCUGUUCUAACUACUGUCACAGCUAGAAGAGGAAACUAAUCUUGGUUCCUUGAUACGACAUCAUUCUUUAAUGAGAGCUUCACGGUAGAGAAGUUAUGUUGGACCCCUGCUACCCUAAUGGGGCAGUAAUUUAUCUUUACUGGAAUGAUACCUACUCUGCAUAGGGGUGGUUUUUUUCCUUCCCCACACUGCCUCCACCAGCAUAAUCAUCUGGCCUUUCACAAUGCCUGACAAAUAGAGGUGUGGUAACCCUCACAGCAUUACCUAUGACCAGGAGACCCAUUUUACAGCAACAGCAUGAGAAGUGUGACAGUAACUACAGACACACAGUAACUACAGACAGUAACUGUAGGAUCUACCUUGGACAUCACCACUCAGAAGCAGCCAGUCUAACAGAAUGGUGGAAUGGGCUGUUAAAGGCUCAGCUAAGACACCAGCUCAGGGAACAUUCUCAGCAAAGUUGGAGCACUCUCCUUUGGGCAUGCAGUUUGUGUGUUGAGCUAACAAAUAUAUGGACCCAGUAGUUAGAAUACAUAGGUCUGGGAAAUAGGCGUGGCCUUGCUCAUCAUUAUCCCAAUGACCUUCUUGUGGGGUUUGUGUUUGCCAUUCUGACAAACUUAGAAUUUUCCAGGUUUAGAGGCCCAAGUCAGAAAGGUUUCUAACUGAAUUUGAAGCUGUAACUGCUACCAGCUCACUUUUGGCUUCUCAUGCUGGAGGAUCAGCAAGCAAAGAAAGUUACCGUGCUGAACACCUUGAGCAGCUAUGACUGCACUGCACAACGUGAACAGGAGAGAGUAUGUCUGCAAUCCACAGCAUUCACAAGGAUGUGUUCUGGUGCAUCCAGAGAAAACAGUAGUUUCCGUGAAGAACAGAUUGACAGAAAUCCUUGGGGGCUUAUCAUCAAAGAUGGAUACAAAGGCAGAAAUGUAAGGCACCCAGCAAGAAGCCAAUUGUCUACAGAAGAGUGAAUCCCAGAGUUUCUACUUUUGUAAUUCUUCCUUCCUCUGUCAUUAUAAAAGAUCAUUGUCUUCAACAUUUUUCAGAGCAGUCUGCCCAGGAGUGAUCUGGAAAACAUACAAGUGAGGAAAACAAACUUUGCAAGAAGAAACAAGUGCACUGGGGAGCAGAGGUGGGAUAGCUCUGCAGUCAUCUUGUCAAAGAAGCACUUGGGAUCUGUAGGGGCCACUCAGUCCUCCCCUCCACAGCCACACAAGUGGUGGCCUUGGAUUCCCAGCAGGGCCCGUGUGCUACAGCACUUGGAGGUUGGAGAGACUCCUACAGCCGCCUCAGACCUGGCCUCUGGGUUGCCAGAUUGGGACCCCUGCUGCCCAUUAAGAUAUAUCCAGCCCUAUAGGAGCCAGGAAGGCCUGCUUCUUUUGCAGCUAGAUCCUGCCCAGAUGAAGUAGGAUGAGGGGUUAAUAACACACCCUUCUUCAUUAAACCCUGAUUCCUACACAAAAGGCUACCCCAGUCUAUUCAAGAGAGUUCUCAGAGCAGGUUAAAGAAAGUCAGUCUCAGACUGUUGGGAGAAAGCAUCUCAUCUCUACCAGAGGAGGAAGCAGUACAUGGUGAAGAAAGCCAACAGAGCGGCUGGAGCCCGAGAUGGCAGGGCUUAAACUCUGGUUUAAUGAUGACAAUAUUGGAUGUUAGCAGCUGGUAACAGAAAAUCCACUAUAAGAAUAUCCUUUUUCACUUAAGAAAAUCUUGAGUUAGGCAGUCCCAGGAUUGAGCUAGCAUCUCCACAAUGCAAGGACACUGAGUCAGACUAUUUGCAGUUCUUUUGAUCCUCCCCUCUUGGUCACAAAACCAUUGCCAUAACUCCAGGCAUCCUGCCCUCACAAAGCCACUUCCAAAGGCAGGAAGCAGGAAUGCUCAUCACAUGCCUGCCUUCUUUUAUUAAUUAUAAUAGUAACUAACAGUUUUUUUGUUUUGGGGUUUUUUGUUUUUUUUAGCAUUUACCAUAUGUCACGUACUAUCUAAGCCCUUUGUAUGUAUAAAUUCACUUCAUUCUACAGUGGACUAGGAAAGCAGAAAGAACUUUGGUUUGACUUUCUCAGCAUUGCUCAGACAAGAAAUGGUAGAGCUGGCACUUAAGCUCUGGCGGUUUGGCUUCAGAGCCCUUAUGGUGCCAAACUACCUCUCCAUUAGGGAAGAAGAGGUUUCCCAGAAGCCCCUCAGCAGACUCUACCUUCUGCUUCAUUGGUUACACCUGGGUCACAUGACCGCUCUGGCUGUGAGGGAGGCGGAGGAUACAAGUAACUGCCUGUUUCAACCUCAAGGGAAAAAGCGGGCUGUGAAGGUCAGUUGAGUAGCCAACCAACAGCAUCUACCACCCACCACUGUGACAAAAGAAACAAUGGCCUUUGUUACUGGGGAAAGAUCCUGGUGCCCUAAGGGCUUAGGUGAAAGUCUGAGGUCACUGGGCUAUUUGGCUUACCACCAUUGAGAGAAAAGCCAAGCUUCCGCUCAAAACCAGUCGGGAAAUAGCAAAAAUGCCAGCAGCCUCACAGCCUUAUCUUCCAUCCAGUCACUUUAGUAUCUGUGCAUAAGCAGUCCUUAUUAAAUUAUUCAUCCUGAUUUAAUGGGAAGGAAAUCACAUGCAACAGGUGUGAUUCUUCCUGCUUGUUGAAUGGCUUUAAAACAGGCUUUCAGACACUGGUUGCGGAAGGGAAAGCAGCAGGAGGACAAAUCAACUGUAUUUUAAGAUAAUUACCGAAAUGCUACAAUACGUGCCAGUGGUCAUAGAAACUGAAUAGAAUUCUGGGAAGGAAAGAGGAAUAUUACAUAGGCAAUUUGCUUUACAUACACUAAAAAAAAAAAAAAAAAAAA
Molecule: non-coding RNA, 3137 nt
Organism: Microcebus murinus (gray mouse lemur)
Lineage: Eukaryota; Metazoa; Chordata; Mammalia; Primates; Cheirogaleidae
Source: RefSeq, a predicted model, not a curated record